AAUAAUAUAUGUCUAACGUCUAUGAACCUCAUUAAAGUCCUAACUCUAAAGUUUACUGUGUAACUAGUUAGUAGAGAAACACUAUGUUUUAAUUAGGUUGGAUUUAAAUAGGGGAAAGUCCAUCAGGAUGAAAUUCUUAUUAUAUUAUUGUUGCAAUUUUGUUAAAUCACAAAUCACCACAGGAAAAUAAGAAUGGAAAAUAGGAAUAAUAAGCAAAUAAUCAGGAAAGACUGAGGAAAACUGAAUAACAAAACAAGAGGAAAGACGAGGUCACCGGAGAAACAAUCCACGUUCUCUGGCGCAGACAUGGACAUUGUUUUCCCAGGAAAGCCCCAGUUCUUCCCCGUCAACAUCAGCGUGAGAGCCGUGUAGCCUGAGGCCUGCCCUCGGCUUGUCCCCUACAGGCAGGCUCUCAUCCCGACCAGAGGCCCACCUUCGGCUUGUGCCGGGCAGGCGAGCUCCCUUCCUUGGUUAGGAACCUGCCUUCAGGUGUUCUUUUUUGCCAUCAGGCAAGGUCCUUUUUUUUGAGUCCCUGCAUCUGCUCGGCUCCCUGCACUCAUGGUUCCUAGUUGGAUUCUUUGGCCACUGAGCCACUUUGGGAACUCCUUAUACUUAUUUUUCAUAUUUAAAUCAUUGAUUUACUGCCAUUCCUUGUGAUUGUGUGGUAGAAUCAUAUAGUAUUUACUCUUGUGUCUCACUUGUUUGAUUUAACAUGUUUGUGUAAUUCAUCAAGUUUGUGUGCCUCUCUGGCAUUUUCUCAUUGCUGAGGUGGUGUUUCAUUGUGUGAAUAUUAUCACAAUUUUCACUGUUGAUGGACAUUUUUUACAACAGUUUUGGCCUGUGUCAGGGGUCUCCAAGACCAUCCCCAGGUUCAGGGACUCGUUCAGAGGACUCACAGGAAUUGACGUUUUUUAUGUUUGUUGUUUUUUUAAGGGCCACACCUGUAGCACAUGGAGGUUCCCAGGCUAGGGGUCUAAUCGGAGCUGUAACCGCCGGCCUACGCCACAGCCACAGCAAUGCCGGAUCCUUACCUCACUGAGUGAGGCCAGGGAUCAAACCUGCAUCCUCCUGGAUACUAGUCAGUUUUGUUUCCGCUGAGCCAUGGUGGGAGCUCCAGGAAUUAACUUACGUGCAUGCUCAUGGUGUGUCUUACUGUGGGGAAAGAAUACAAAGCAAAAUUCGCAAAGAGAAAAACACAUGGGGUGAAGUCAGAGAUAAACCCGGAGCAAACUUCCAGGAAUCUUUCCCAGUGGAGUCACGCUGAAUGCGUUUAAUUUUCCCAGUAGUGCGUUGUGACGACACAUGUGACAUGGUACCUGCCGGGGAAGCUUAGAGAUAGUGCCUGAAACACCCUUGGCCUCGUCGCAAUUCAUGACUUUUAGAAGUCAAGUCGGGUUUGACAUAAACUAUCCUGAGAUCCAAGUUUCCAGGUGCUAAGGGCCAACUGUGUAAGCAGGCUUUUUCUUUCUCUGUCUCUCUCUCUCUUUCUGCUUUUGAGGGCCUCUUUUACACACCGUGUUUUAUGAAUAAUGCUUCUGUGAUCGCUCAUGAAUCUCUUGGUGUUUGGGGGAGGGCAUCCUUUGUUGAGUCUGUCUCCUGAGGUGGGUUUCAGAGUCUCAGGCUAUGUGUAAGUUCACGUGCGGAGACAGUGCCAGGCCAGUCACACAAAGCUACGCUGCACGCCCGCCCGUGCACAGAAGUCACGUUGUCCUGUGUCGUUACCAACACGCUUGUGUUGACGGUGGUGUUAAUUAUAGCCUUUACAGUAUGUGUUUAUGGAUGGCCGCUUGUGGUUCUCUUUUGUAAUAUCCUUAGUGUUUUGUUUUGUUUUUCCCUUUUGGAGGGCUGCACCUGCCGCAUAUGGAAGUUCCCAGGCUAGGGGUCGAAUCAGAGCUACAGCUGUCGGCCUACACCACAGCCACAGCAAUGCUGGAUCCUUAACCCACUGAGUGAGGCCAGGGAUCAAACCUGCAACCUCAUGGUUCCUAGUCGAUUCGUUUCCAGUGCGCCACUAUGGGAACUCCCUGUAAUAUCCCUGUUAUCAGUGAGAUUGAGCACCUUUUCACAUAGUUGGGAGAUACUUCAGUAACCUCUUGGGAGAAGGUCCUAUUCAAGGCUCUUGUUCAUUUUCUGUUAGUUGCCUUUUUCUUGCCGAUUUGUAGAGAGUUCUUUAUAUAAUCUGGGUGUAAACCAUUCUCCCACUUUGGCUUGCUGUAUGACUCCCUUAAUGAUGUCUUAAAGAUUCUUUUAGAGUUCCCCUUGUGGCUCAGUGGAAACAAACCUGACUAGUAUCCAUGAGGACGUGGGUUCCAUCCCUGGCCUCGCUCAGUGGGUUAAGGAUCCAGUGUUGCUGCAAGUUGUGGUGUAGGUCUCAGAUGUGGCUUGGAUCUGGAGUUGGCUGUGGCUGUGGUGUAGGCUGGCAGCUAUAGCUCCGAUUUGACCCCUAACCUGGGAA
This 2455-nucleotide long non-coding RNA is filed under the name Sus scrofa (pig). Its description in RNAcentral is "lncRNA (ENSSSCG00060048334.1)". Lineage: Eukaryota; Metazoa; Chordata; Mammalia; Artiodactyla; Suidae. The record is from RNAcentral.